GCUUUUAUGACAAGAAUUUGGGGUGAGAAGCAGCAGUUGCACUUAGCCUUCAAGGAAUUUCUUGAUGACCCAAAGCACCUUAAGUGCUGAACUGAAAAGCAAUCCAAUUAUACACAGUGAACCAGUAAGUCAUCACUGGACACUAUUUGCUGAUCCUGAAACUACUGCUCUUCAGUUUCUUGCAUUCUAUGAUCCUCAGCUUGGACAAAGAACUUCUGAUUCUCAUGUGUACAGCAUAGAGAAACC
Long non-coding RNA from Alligator mississippiensis (American alligator), 246 nucleotides. RefSeq lists it as uncharacterized. NCBI's taxonomy places the organism in Eukaryota, Metazoa, Chordata, Crocodylia, Alligatoridae. The record is from RefSeq and is a predicted model, not a curated record. The transcript has 3 exons.